This 596-nucleotide long non-coding RNA is filed under the name Manacus vitellinus (golden-collared manakin). Its description in RNAcentral is "lncRNA (ENSMVIG00005016200.1)". Lineage: Eukaryota; Metazoa; Chordata; Aves; Passeriformes; Pipridae. The record is from RNAcentral.
CCAGCACGGAACAGCUUUGCUGAAGUACAUUUUUGCCAGGGCAGGUCCCUCUGAAGAGCGACGGCGCUGACCCGGGGGGAUCAUAAUGUGGACACCGGCACAGCAAUGAGAUAAUGCUGUAAACUUCGAGAUAAUGCUGUAAACUUCAACCCCAGAUAAAAGCCAAGCUCUGACUCCAACAUCCUGCACCUCCAGCUGCUCUCCCCUGUUCUCAGUUCCAGUCCCAGCAGCCCCCAAAGCCAGGGAAACACUGCACGGAACAACCGCCCGCUGGAAAGUUUACUUGUCUCCACUGGCUGUGUUUGGAUUUAACUCUGACAGCUCUGCUGAGACGCACAGAGACCUCGGGCAGCACGGCCAGGGAGGGGCUUUCCCCCUCCUCACUUCACAUGAUUUACAGUCAGUAACCAAUUCCAAGAGGUGGGUUUCAAGAAGGCAAGACAUUAAAUAUUAAGAAGUUUGCGAGCAACAGCAACACCUCCAGUGGUGGAACAGCCCCACUUUUGGCAGCAUUUUGAACAAAGCUGAGCCUAAAUAAUUUUUUCAAGCCGAGAAGAAAGGCAGGGAGCGUGGAAAGGAACCAGGCACCCACCACA